This 720-nucleotide ribosomal RNA is filed under the name uncultured Staphylococcus sp. RNAcentral describes it as "bacterial SSU rRNA". It matches the Rfam family "Bacterial small subunit ribosomal RNA", at positions 58 to 760 of the family's 1533-position model. The record is from RNAcentral. Lineage: Bacteria; Bacillati; Bacillota; Bacilli; Caryophanales; Staphylococcaceae.
CAAGUCGAGCGAACGGACGAGAAGCUUGCUUCUCUGAUGUUAGCGGCGGACGGGUGAGUAACACGUGGAUAACCUACCUAUAAGACUGGGAUAACUUCGGGAAACCGGAGCUAAUACCGGAUAAUAUUUUGAACCGCAUGGUUCAAAAGUGAAAGACGGUCUUGCUGUCACUUAUAGAUGGAUCCGCGCUGCAUUAGCUAGUUGGUAAGGUAACGGCUUACCAAGGCAACGAUGCAUAGCCGACCUGAGAGGGUGAUCGGCCACACUGGAACUGAGACACGGUCCAGACUCCUACGGGAGGCAGCAGUAGGGAAUCUUCCGCAAUGGGCGAAAGCCUGACGGAGCAACGCCGCGUGAGUGAUGAAGGUCUUCGGAUCGUAAAACUCUGUUAUUAGGGAAGAACAUAUGUGUAAGUAACUGUGCACAUCUUGACGGUACCUAAUCAGAAAGCCACGGCUAACUACGUGCCAGCAGCCGCGGUAAUACGUAGGUGGCAAGCGUUAUCCGGAAUUAUUGGGCGUAAAGCGCGCGUAGGCGGUUUUUUAAGUCUGAUGUGAAAGCCCACGGCUCAACCGUGGAGGGUCAUUGGAAACUGGAAAACUUGAGUGCAGAAGAGGAAAGUGGAAUUCCAUGUGUAGCGGUGAAAUGCGCAGAGAUAUGGAGGAACACCAGUGGCGAAGGCGACUUUCUGGUCUGUAACUGACGCUGAUGUGCGAAAGC